AGAGUUUGAUCCUGGCUCAGGACGAACGCUGGCGGCGUGCUUAACACAUGCAAGUCGAACGGAAAGGCCCUUCGGGGUACUCGAGUGGCGAACGGGUGAGUAACACGUGGGUGAUCUGCCCUGCACUUUGGGAUAAGCCUGGGAAACUGGGUCUAAUACCGGAUAGGAUCACGCUCUUCAUGGGGUGUGGUGGAAAGCUU
RNAcentral lists this ribosomal RNA (200 nucleotides) under uncultured bacterium. RNAcentral's name for it is "partial 16S ribosomal RNA". It matches the Rfam family "Bacterial small subunit ribosomal RNA", at positions 8 to 210 of the family's 1533-position model. The record is from RNAcentral.